This 1307-nucleotide ribosomal RNA is filed under the name metagenome. Its description in RNAcentral is "bacterial LSU rRNA". It matches the Rfam family "Bacterial large subunit ribosomal RNA", at positions 1635 to 2925 of the family's 2925-position model. The record is from RNAcentral.
CUGCGGCCCGUACCCUAAACCGACUCAGGUGGUCAGGUAGAGAAUACUAAGGCGAUCGGGUGAGCUGUGGUUAAGGAACUCGGCAAAUUGCCCCCGUAACUUCGGGAGAAGGGGGGCCAUGCCCGGUGAUCCACCUUGCGUGGUGAGCGGGGUGUGGCCGCAGAUACCAGGGGGAAGCGACUGUUUACUAAAAACACAGGUCCGUGCGAAGUCGUAAGACGCUGUAUACGGACUGACGCCUGCCCGGUGCCGGAACGUUAAGAGGACCGGUCAACCCUCACGGGUGAAGCUGAGAAUCUAAGCGCCGGUAAACGGCGGUGGUAACUAUAACCAUCCAAAGGUAGCGAAAUUCCUUGUCGGGUAAGUUCCGACCUGCACGAAUGGUGUAACGACUUCCCCACUGUCUCAACCACAGACCCGGCAAAUUGCAGUACGAGUAAAGAUGCUCGUUUCGCGCAGCAGGACGGAAAGACCCCGGGACCUUCACUACAGCUUGGCAUUGGCGUUUGGAGCGUCUUGUGUAGGAUAGGUGGGAGACUGUGAAGCUCACACGCCAGUGUGGGUGGAGUCAUUGGUGAAAUACCACUCUGGUCGUUUCGAGCGUCUAACCCGCACCCGUGAAUCCGGGUGGGGGACAGUGCCUGGUGGGUAGUUUAACUGGGGCGGUUGCCUCCUAAAAGGUAACGGAGGCGCCCAAAGGUUCCCUCAGCCUGGUUGGUAAUCAGGUGGCGAGUGCAAGGGCACAAGGGAGCUUGACUGUGAGACGGACAUGUCGAGCAGGUGCGAAAGCAGGGCCUAGUGAUCCGGCGGUGGCAUGUGGAAGCGCCGUCGCUCAACGGCUAAAAGGUACCCCGGGGAUAACAGGCUGAUCUUCCCCAAGAGUCCAUAUCGACGGGAUGGUUUGGCACCUCGAUGUCGGCUCGUCGCAUCCUGGGGCUGGAGUAGGUCCCAAGGGUUGGGCUGUUCGCCCAUUAAAGCGGCACGCGAGCUGGGUUUAGAACGUCGCGAGACAGUUCGGUCCCUAUCCGCUGCGCGCGCAGGAGAUUUGAGAGGGUCUGUCCCUAGUACGAGAGGACCGGGACGGACGAACCUCUGGUGUGCCAGUUGUCAUGCCAAUGGCACGGCUGGUUGGCUACGUUCGGACGGGAUAACCGCUGAAAGCAUCUAAGCGGGAAGCCUUCCUCGAGAUGAGAUCUCCCACCCCCAUGAGGGGUGUAAGGCCCCCAGCUAGACCACUGGGUUGAUAGGCCAGAAAUGGAAGCACCGUAAGGUGUGGAGUUGACUGGUACUAAUAGGCCGAGCGGCUC